AUUUAAAUAGCUUAAAUUUAAAGCAUAAUAUUGAAGAUAUUAAAAUAAUAUAAAAAUUUUUAAAUA
RNAcentral lists this transfer RNA (66 nucleotides) under Aleurodicus dispersus. RNAcentral's name for it is "tRNA-Phe". Lineage: Eukaryota; Metazoa; Arthropoda; Insecta; Hemiptera; Aleyrodidae. The record is from RNAcentral.